RNAcentral lists this ribosomal RNA (509 nucleotides) under uncultured bacterium. RNAcentral's name for it is "bacterial SSU rRNA". It matches the Rfam family "Bacterial small subunit ribosomal RNA", at positions 564 to 1074 of the family's 1533-position model. The record is from RNAcentral.
AGGGCACGCAGGCGGUGACUUAAGUGAGGUGUGAAAGCCCCGGGCUUAACCUGGGAAUUGCAUUUCAUACUGGGUCGCUAGAGUACUUUAGGGAGGGGUAGAAUUCCACGUGUAGCGGUGAAAUGCGUAGAGAUGUGGAGGAAUACCGAAGGCGAAGGCAGCCCCUUGGGAAUGUACUGACGCUCAUGUGCGAAAGCGUGGGGAGCAAACAGGAUUAGAUACCCUGGUAGUCCACGCUGUAAACGAUGUCGAUUUGGGGGUUGAGCUUUAAGUUUGGCGCCCGUAGCUAACGUGAUAAAUCGACCGCCUGGGGAGUACGGCCGCAAGGUUAAAACUCAAAUGAAUUGACGGGGGCCCGCACAAGCGGUGGAGCAUGUGGUUUAAUUCGAUGCAACGCGAAGAACCUUACCUACUCUUGACAUCCAGAGAACUUUCCAGAGAUGGAUUGGUGCCUUCGGGAGCUCUGAGACAGGUGCUGCAUGGCUGUCGUCAGCUCGUGUCGUGAGAAG